Molecule: ribosomal RNA, 684 nt
Filed under: Triticum aestivum (bread wheat)
Lineage: Eukaryota; Viridiplantae; Streptophyta; Magnoliopsida; Poales; Poaceae
Description: partial small subunit ribosomal RNA
Source: RNAcentral
AUGCUUUCACCCGCAGAAUUUACCCAGGUUGCAGUUACAUUGUGGGCGCUGUGGCACUCACGUCAUGAGGCGCUGCAUGAAAACAUCUUUCAGAGCCCUUUGUCUACGCAUCUUUUUAUCACCAAGUAUAUCAGAGAGAUCGAGGAUUGCACGCCCAAGGCGAGGCAAGGGACAGUGCACCCAAUCCCGGUGCAAACGCGGGCUAGAUGGAUACCGCCACCGCCGGGAGUGGCAAAGAUCAGAGUGGACGGGGCAACAACGAGAAACUCCCUGGAGGGUUCUUUCAGUGCUAUAUGCAGAGACGAAACAGGGUUUUUCUUAGGAGCCUCGGUGAUCAAGACACCAGGAGUGGCUGAUCCGGUGACUCUGGAAGCUCUGGCGUGCAGAGAGGCACUCGCCCUUGCAAUGGACUUGCAGAUCUCCAGGGUUGUUAUUGCUUCAGACUGCCAGGGAGUGAUCCGGAAUAUCGAAGAUGCCACAGGAGGGCACUACGCUGCUGUAAUCAAGGAGAUCAAUGAGACAACGAGAGAUUUUGAGUAAUGCACCUUCAUCUUCGAGGGUAGAUCGACAAAUAUCGAGGCACAUAGCCUUGCUAAACACGCUUUCGGACUAGAUUAUGGGCGCCAUUUGUGGCUUAUAAACCCACCAAAUAUCCAUUGUAUUCCUAUGAACUUUUAUGAUUAA